Molecule: non-coding RNA, 270 nt
Organism: Pelobates cultripes (western spadefoot toad)
Lineage: Eukaryota; Metazoa; Chordata; Amphibia; Anura; Pelobatidae
Source: the annotation of a GenBank genome assembly
GUUGGGAAAUAUGGUGUGCAGUCGGGUCGGUACCAUGUACCAUCGGUAUAGGAUUUUCCUGGAUGCUUCCAGGUGUGCUGUACUUGUUGUGAGCCCUAUAUGAGAAGUGAAAAUCUUUUCCCAUUCGUUUGGGGGUAUUGUGACCUGGAGGUCUGUCUGCCAGUCCUGCAUAAACUUCCAUGUGUCGCUGUUUUUAGGGUUGGCAAGGUGGUCGUAACAGGUGGAAACUGUUUUCCUUGGAGGGGCUAGGGAGAGGCAUUGUGCUUCAAA